RNAcentral lists this long non-coding RNA (593 nucleotides) under Bos indicus x Bos taurus (hybrid cattle). Its description in RNAcentral is "lncRNA (ENSBIXG00005027543.1)". The record is from RNAcentral. Lineage: Eukaryota; Metazoa; Chordata; Mammalia; Artiodactyla; Bovidae.
CCAUGAUUCACUCUUUACCCUAAUUACACCAACAAUGGGCCUCUGGAGUUUGUCCCUCUCACCUUAAUCACUGCGGAAUUUGAUCUCAGGGCCUUUCAUUCCAUUACUACCCCCCAUCUGGCCGCUGCCUGCAGGAGCCAGGCCGGCCCUGCGUCUCCCGUGGGACUAGAGGCCUGGGGAAAGAGUGAGGUGUUUUCCAUCACACCCUCCAUCUGAGCCAUCUUCGUUCACCACAGUCUCCUCCCUGCCUCCCUCUUUUCCCGCUUGCUGGUCAGUCUAAGUGAGACCCACCCAGACAAUGGUCAGUACCUGGGACUUCCAUCCUCCAUCGGCUUCAGUUUCUCUCUCUAUAAAAUGGGACGGUCACUGCGAGGCUGCUAUUCACAGACCAAAGAGGACUGCAGACUCAAAAUCCAUUAGCAUCUGGAUGGCAACAUAACCAUGCACAGUGGAGACUGAUGCAGUAAGAUGUGAUGGGGCCAGUGUGGGGCUGGAGAGUCUGCACCUCAGUUGAAAUAAUUCAGGUACAAAGUAUUCAAAAACUCUGUGCCAAAGAUGAUACAUCUGCAUAUAGUAUCUGGCAUCUGCUAGUG